CUGGACCUUUAUGGAGUUUGCCACUUCUCCUUGCUAUCCUUAACUGUAUUUGGAGUGAAUUUCCUCUCAUGGUUUCUGUUGGUGCAGAGAAAUGGUUAAUGAGAAGGUUAAUCAGAGUCAUAACUAUAACUUCAUAUAAGGGAACAAAGCCAUUCAGGAAUGUGAGGAUGAAUGUGGAGGAGAGAACAGAAGAACCUUCUUUUCUCAAAAGUUUUUCUCAUUCUGGUGAUGUUGCCAUAUAUUCUUAUUCUCUGCAUACUUGGAAUCUUAUCAAGCUGUUCCUGUAGCUCUGGAUACUUUGAAAUGGCUCUUGGGACAAUUCUCAGCCUGAUCCUGAUUGGAUGCUGGCCCAAUUCUGCAAAUUUUGAGGAACACAACAAAUUUCAAAAGGCAUGUUGUGACUUGGACUGGCUUGCAUAAGAGAGUUAUGUUGAAGCAGUUAUCUCUGAAGGAG
Molecule: long non-coding RNA, 454 nt
Filed under: Phascolarctos cinereus (koala)
Lineage: Eukaryota; Metazoa; Chordata; Mammalia; Diprotodontia; Phascolarctidae
Description: lncRNA (ENSPCIG00000007103.2)
Source: RNAcentral